GCGUUGUUCGGAAUUACUGGGCGUAAAGCGUACGUAGGCGGUUUUGUAAGUUAGAGGUGAAAGCCCGGAGCUCAACUCCGGAAUUGCCUUUAAGACUGCAUCGCUUGAAUCAUGGAGAGGUGAGUGGAAUUCCGAGUGUAGAGGUGAAAUGCGUAGAUAUCUGGAGGAACACCGGUGGCGAAGGCGGCAUCCUGGACCGGUAUUGACGCUGAGGCGCGAAAGCGUGGGGAGCAAACAGG
RNAcentral lists this ribosomal RNA (239 nucleotides) under uncultured bacterium. Its description in RNAcentral is "partial 16S ribosomal RNA". It matches the Rfam family "Bacterial small subunit ribosomal RNA", at positions 538 to 776 of the family's 1533-position model. The record is from RNAcentral.